This is a microRNA precursor of Nicotiana attenuata, 96 nucleotides long. It matches the Rfam family "MIR6152 microRNA precursor family". Lineage: Eukaryota; Viridiplantae; Streptophyta; Magnoliopsida; Solanales; Solanaceae. The record is from Rfam.
UGGACAGAUUAUUGUAUUCGACUGUAUUCACAGCGUGAAACAGGGGAUUACACUAUUUUUAAAUGGAAAGUGAAUCAAUUAACAUAAUAGACUCUU